RNAcentral lists this ribosomal RNA (253 nucleotides) under uncultured bacterium. RNAcentral describes it as "partial 16S ribosomal RNA". It matches the Rfam family "Bacterial small subunit ribosomal RNA", at positions 524 to 776 of the family's 1533-position model. The record is from RNAcentral.
UACGUAGGGCGCGAGCGUUAAUCGGAAUUACUGGGCGUAAAGCGUGCGCAGGCGGUUUUGCAAGCCGGAUGUGAAAUCCCCGGGCUUAACCUGGGAAUGGCAUUUGGGACUGCAAGGCUGGAGUGCGGCAGAGGAGACUGGAAUUCCUGGUGUAGCAGUGAAAUGCGUAGAUAUCAGGAGGAACACCGAUGGCGAAGGCAGGUCUCUGGGCUGACACUGACGCUCAUGCACGAAAGCGUGGGGAGCAAACAGG